CACUCCUUUAUUUAACAGUAAUCCUCUUGUUUACCGGGUCAGUAAUUUUCUGCAGUUCAGAAGAUGCAAUAAAAUCUCAUUUCCAUACUUUAUUAUGUUGGUACAGAAAUAUAUUCACUGAUGAUUAAUAAUGUUAUAUAAAAUGAUAAUCUACAAUAUUGGUUUAAUUGAAAAAGUGCCAAAACUGCAUAAUUAAUUGUAAAUAUUAGAGAACUGCUGGAAGCUUGUAAAAAAAAACAAAACAAACAAGAUGAAUUAUAUAUUUGUACCAAUAAUACACACAGAGGAGUUGUUUUAUUUUUGUUUUCUGAUUCAUG
Salarias fasciatus (jewelled blenny) is the source of this 317-nucleotide long non-coding RNA. RefSeq lists it as uncharacterized. The record is from RefSeq and is a predicted model, not a curated record. The transcript is spliced from 3 exons. Lineage: Eukaryota; Metazoa; Chordata; Actinopteri; Blenniiformes; Blenniidae.